This 468-nucleotide ribosomal RNA is filed under the name uncultured bacterium. RNAcentral describes it as "partial 16S ribosomal RNA". It matches the Rfam family "Bacterial small subunit ribosomal RNA", at positions 28 to 507 of the family's 1533-position model. The record is from RNAcentral.
GACGAACGCUGGCGGCGUGCUUAAUACAUGCAAGUCGAACGGAAAGGCCCUGCUUUUGUGGGGUGCUCGAGUGGCGAACGGGUGAGUAACAAGUGAGUAACCUGCCCUUGACUUUGGGAUAACUUCAGGAAACUGGGGCUAAUACCGGAUAGGAGCUCCUGCUGCAUGGUGGGGGUUGGAAAGUUUCGGCGGUUGGGGAUGGACUCGCGGCUUAUCAGCUUGUUGGUGGGGUAGUGGCUUACCAAGGCUUUGACGGGUAGCCGGCCUGAGAGGGUGACCGGCCACAUUGGGACUGAGAUACGGCCCAGACUCCUACGGGAGGCAGCAGUGGGGAAUAUUGCACAAUGGGCGGAAGCCUGAUGCAGCAACGCCGCGUGCGGGAUGACGGCCUUCGGGUUGUAAACCGCUUUCGCCUGUGACGAAGCGUGAGUGACGGUAAUGGGUAAAGAAGCACCGGCUAACUACGUG